UUCUUAAUUUUGUAAUUUUUAUUUAUUAUAAAUAUUUUGAAUACCAUUACAAAACGAAGGAUGAAAAUUUCUGGAAAUUUGUACAAUUUUUUUUAUCAAUACAUGAGGAAUCUUUCUAUUAUAGUUGGUUGAUAGCAGAGUACAAAACGAACGAAAUUACAAAAAAGAAAGCGAUUGGUAAGAAAAAUAAGCGUUCUUUAAAUGCCCUAAACGUGGAUGACCAUGUUGAUAUAGAAAGAGGGAAUCAUAUUAACGUAGCAAAUGAAAACCAUAAUGAUAAAAAUAUAGGAGAUGACAAUAAGAAACAGAUAUCCAGACCCGGAUUAAAACACAAACCUAAACGCAAACCCAGACCCAAGCCCAAAUGCGGAUUCAAACCCAAACCUAAUCUAAACGAAGUAGGCGAUAUAAUUGCAACCGACGAUAUUAGCAAAAAUUGUGCUUUAUUAAAGAGCAAAAACAUGAUAACACAAGACAAUAUGAAACGUGUAGUGGAUAGAAUUAAUUAUUAUCCAUUGGUUUUAGCUAACACACUAUAUAAAUAUACGCACAUACUUUUUUAUAAAAUUAUAAAUACUUUUAUAAAAGCAAAAAUGAACAUUUUGAAUGCGAAAAACUUACGUGAUAACAUAGUUUAUGAUAUCACUUAUUAUUUGAAACAUACAUUUAUAAGUACAAUAAAAAAAAAUAAUAAUAUUUAUAUUAAUGCGUUAAAUUAUAAGUACUCAUUUUAUGAUUUUAAUGAAAUGGAAACAAAUUUGAAAUUAUGUAUAUAUUUAAAAGAUGUCUAUUUAAAACAUGAUUUGUUCAGUAUUAAUAUAUUAGAAAUUUUAAAUAUAGAGAAUAGUAAAAAAAAAGUGAAAAAGGGUGAGAGGGGUAGUAACGGUUUUAGUAGAGCCAGCAGCAGUAGUGAUAGUAUCGAAGUUCAAGCGAAUUCACCAGAAAAUUGUUUAAUAAGAAAGGAGCUGGUUGGUGAGGGUGAAAGUAUUGAUAACGAAUAUAUUCACGUCAAUAAUGGAAGUAGUAGAAGUAGUAGCAUUGGUGGUAGUAGUAACAUUGAUAGUAGUAACAUUGAUAGUAGUAGCAUUGGUGGUACUAGUAUUAGCAGUAGCAGUACUAGUAUUAACAGUAGCAGUACUACUGGCAGUGAUAGAAGUGCUUAUGUAGCGCGUGGUAAAAAAGGAAGCAGGGUGAACAAUAAAACACGCUUAAAUGUACCAACCAAAAACUUUCCACAAAAUAAUGCAGGUAAAUUGUUAAGAAGUCAUAAGAAACGUGAUAUAAGAGUAGAAUCCAAUACAAUAGACAAAACAAAUAAAUUAGUUGAUGAUUAUUUUAAAAUUAAAAAGAAAAAAAAAAUUUCUAUAACAUAUUUUAAUAAUGUUUUAACAUAUUUUUUAAAAAACAAACUGUAUGAUUAUAAAAUAAGUAUUUUCGAUUAUUAUAAAUUUGAAAAAAAAUUAGUUGAUACUGUAUUUUUAUUUUUGGGCAAGCUCUUUGAUUUUUUUUUUAAUUCGCUUUUAUCUUUUCGAGACAGUCAAGAUUUUGACAGCAGUGGUAUUAAUGAGAAUUAUAGUUUUGGGAAACAAGCUAAUGUGAGUAAAGCUGGCGUAAGCUCAAGAAACAUGAUUAGCACACUAUUUUCAACUCGUUUUUCCAAUAAUAACUAUGAUAAGAACAAUAAGAAUUGUUAUAUGUAUAAACAGCUUAUGAUGUAUUUUAUAAUUUUUGCAAUGUGUCAUUAUGCUGAUAGUUUAAUAUUUGUUAGUAUGAAUUUUUUAAGUAUGGACAAGUUGACUGCAGAUUUGGUAGAAAAUGUGGGUAUAAGUGAGGAUAUUGGAAAUAGUUUGACGGAACAGAAAAAACAACAGCAUAAUAAUAAUAGUAAUAAUAAUGAUAGCCUACAAGAAGAAGAGCCAAAUGUAAUGUCCAUAAAUAAUAUAAAACCAUACAAUCAUUUGAAAUCACAAGAUUUAAUUCAUAACGGAAUAGGAAAGUGUAUAGAUUAUACAGUGUCAGCAUCCGUAGAAAAUAAAGAUUUAAGAAAAGAUUUUUAUUUACAGUCCAGUUUUUUAAGCACAAAGAAUUAUCAUAUUUUUCAAAAAAAAGUAGUUAACACAAUUCAUUGUAAUAAAGAAUGUUAUAAAGCAUUUAUCCCGAUAUAUAAAUUGUUAUUGACUAGAUUAAAAGUAUGCAUAUAUUAUCCUAGAUUUUUUUUUCUUGCAUUUUUAUUUAAUUUCUCAAAUUAUAACGUCAUCAAAUCUGAUAAGGUGUUAAAUUAUUUAAAAAAAAAUAACUGCUUAUAUUCAGCUAUUAAAUAUGUCGUCUAUAGUUAUGACGUUACAAAAACUAGUUCGUCAAAAAAAAGGGGUAAGGAUCAACCAAACGGUGUUACUUAUGUUGGAGAAAAUAGACCACACGUAGAAAAUAUACCUGACAAUAGAAAUAUACCAAUUGAGACAAAUACGAUAGAAAAUGUUGAUUAUGUAUUAAACGGUUCGUCGGGCGCGACAAACAGUAGUAACAUAAGCAACGGGGAUAGCAAUAAAGGUCACAGCGGGGAUAGCAAUAAAGGUCAUAGCAGGGAUAGCAGUAAAAGUUAUAACAAGGAAACAACGUCGCCUAAUGAAGAGCUAUACAACUUAGAGGUGGAAAUAAAUGGAGUCACAAUACGAUAUAAAGAUGUUAUAAGCGACAUAAUAAAAGGAUUAAUGUUUAUUGCAAACAAUAAGAACUGUAAGAACUACAAUUCUCAAGCUGCAUACUACAUAUGUUUUUAUUAUUUAAUAAAAGAAGAAUUCGAUAAAUGUUUUCAGUAUGUUAAUAUUUUUGCAUAUAAAGGAAUGUUUAAGGCUUGGCAAGUCGAACGGUCAAAC
Molecule: long non-coding RNA, 2876 nt
Organism: Piliocolobus tephrosceles (Ugandan red Colobus)
Lineage: Eukaryota; Metazoa; Chordata; Mammalia; Primates; Cercopithecidae
Source: Ensembl